This is a long non-coding RNA of Camelina sativa (false flax), 1362 nucleotides long. RefSeq lists it as uncharacterized. Lineage: Eukaryota; Viridiplantae; Streptophyta; Magnoliopsida; Brassicales; Brassicaceae. The record is from RefSeq and is a predicted model, not a curated record.
CAAUAAGCUGGCCAUAGAGAAGAUGAAAACAGUCUCGCUCUUCCUUUCCCGGAAAGAGUUGAGAGCUAAAAAAAAUAAAACAUGCUUAUAUACUCGUUAAGGGUUUCGCUCUUCUUUAUGGGCCUUGAGGGGCUAAUAAGCUUCGGCCCAAUUAGAUUAUUCUGUUCAAUCGUCCGUUGACUUUUUUCAUACAACCAAAAUCAAUCUUCAUGAUUGGUGAUUGCAACCAUAUAUGUAUCUUAUCAGGUAUAUAUGGUUAAGGGUUAGUGUUUGCAACGGCUCGGUAGUCCGCUUCUGUCGACAUUCCAGAUACGGGAUGACUUCCAAGGUAGUAGAUUAUGUAGGCGUUGGUAGGAGCAGUCUGCAUCCUAGUAGGCAUGAAGACUGAGUCAGUUCUUGUGCAGUAGUAAGUAACAGUACCUGCCACAAGUCAUUCUUUUAAGCGCAAGUAAAACUAUAGCACAUAGCACAAGAAAAAUACCAUACCUGUUCUAGCAAGGCAGAGCAAUAAACAGAAUUGCAGGAUCUGCUUAGCAAAUAGGGCAAGUAACUGAAACCUCCUCUGUUGUGCUUGAAAACUUGUCCUUGGCGAAUGGACUAAGAAUCAACUUAAGAGUUGAGCAGCGGAAGAAACAACAAGAGCAUUUCCUGAAUAUCCCCAAUCAACUCAAAAGUUGAAUGCCAAACAGAACCACAAAAUCAGAUCCAACAUAACAUUUCUGACGGCAGGCAAGACAAAUACUCAUCAGAUAAGUCUAAAAAGAAUACCUGCUGUGGAUACAUUUUUGAAAUUUGCUACUUUUGAAAAUAAUGGGGAGCUCAUAUACAAGAAAGUGAUCCCUACCCCAAAAGAGGAGUGCUCGAAGCCAGUUCAGCUUUGAGUCAAGCUUUGCAGGUGGAUACAUUGCAGGUGGAUACAUUGCAGGAAUUUUCUGUACAGUCAUCUCACAUCCUGCAGAUAACUUCAUCUCUCUCCUCAAUAACUCUAAAGGAGAUACUGUUACUGAUGUGAGUGAAAUUGCAUACAAAUCCGUACUUCACCAGAACAGCCAACAGCUCAGAUUCAUCCACUGAUAUAUAUAUAUAUAUAUAUAUAUAUAUGGCUACUUUUGGCUGCUACCGACUUGGUUGUUAUUCUUUCACAUGCUACAGGCAGUAAAAAGGCUAUUUUUUGGGGUAUGUUAACUAGGGGCCCUCCACUUCGCAUUUUCAUGAUAGGAACACUAACAGGAGCGCAGUGGGUUAUCUCUGAUGCUGUCAAAGUUUUAGCUGGAUUUUACUGCGCUUGCUCCAUCUGUAAGUGCAUAAAACUACAAGGACAUUCCAUCGCAUAGCCAUAAACACUAGACCAAUAAAAGGGAA